CGGGCAGACUUCCGGGCGGGCCCGCGCGCCACCCGUCCUCCAGGUGUGAAUGGCUGCGAGGGGCCUGGCUUCCGGCGAGCUGCAAAUGGCGACCGCAAAAGGCAGGUGCCCAGCCACUAACUUCGGGCUCUGGGCCGAGGGCCGCUCCCCUGAGAAGAGGCCAGUUUGGAGGCCGCGGCAGGCAGCGUUUCCCGCCCUGCUGGUCUCCGGGGUGGCGCUCACUGCGAUCCCAGGAGGGUCGGCUAACAUCUUCCUUUUACAGACCAGGGAUUGAAGCAGGACAGACUGGGAGUUGCCGUUCCUCUCAUUCCUUCCCCAUCAGUCAGGGGUGCCUGAGAGAUGACGUCCACCCAGACGUAAAGCAGAUGGUUUUUCUAUGGGAAGCAAGGCCCGUGAGAACGUUCUUUCCUGGAACUCCCAAAUCAUGGACAUUAGUCAACAGCCAUGCCACAGCCUACCCGGACAUACUAUGUUCAUGUAGAGUCAUGUAUUCAUCUCCAGCUGUAGAAAAGAAUAUAUCAAAGCCCAUGUUUCUACACUGACUACCAGAGUUAUUGUUCUGCCUCAGUGUAGACCAACAGCUUAACUCCACUUCAACCCCUAGCCUGGGGGACGUCCAUAGGCUGCGGGUGCAGCAAGGAAAAAAGGACAAAGAAAUAGCGUCUUGAGAACACUGGCUUGAGAUGGGAAGAAAUCAGGGCUGCAGGGCCGUAGGGGGAGGUGUGUGUCUGCUCCACUACACAGCAGCAGCGACGUAAGCAUCAGAAAUUAGGCAGGAAGGUUACAGAGACACCCUCCCAUCCCCAUUUAAGACUGGAAAUAGGAUGAAGUUGAAGGGAAGGGGUGAGAGCAGAGCUGGGCCCCUUCCAGCCGUCACCACAGGCCUGGGGCUGCACCCCGGCGGGAGGCUGCUCACUGGGACCCCUGGGUUCUGACCAACAGGAGGGCAGCCCAGCCUGCCCCUAACUCCACAGGGCCAGUGGGCGCUGUCCAGCGGGGCCUCCACUGGGGGCUGCCACCUGGCUGGAGGAAACAGGGCGAGCUCUCAAAACUGUAAGUGCUCCCUCUCGAGCCCACCAGAGGCUUCCUAGGGUUUCAUGGUCUCCCUCGCAGGCCUCUCUGCUGUGUUUGCUAUCAUGACAGGGCCACUUACCAUUGCCCGCCAUGGUCCUUCGGGAGUUAAUGCCAGACAGCUGCCUCGGAGACACUGGCUCUCUGCUGAUGGAGCCAGGCUGGGGGGAGCCUGUCCCUGUGGGAAUGUAUAAAGGCCACCCAGGGGGACCAGCCAUCCUGCCUCAGAGUCCCCCUGAGGAGGAGCCAGCUGUCUGCUCCCUCCCUGAGUUGCGCAGUAGACCCAAGUCCACGUCCGGGUUGUGAUAACUAUUCAGCCGGCCAGCAAGGCUUUUGAAGCAAAACGGUCUAACUGGAGUUGGAGAAGGACAGCAUCCAGAAACACCAGUUCCGUAGGGGGUGAGCUGCAAGGAACAAGCAAGAAGCUCAUACACUAUGCAUCGCCAGGAGUUCCCAUCGUGGCACAGCGGAAAUGAAUCUGACUAGGAACCAUGAGGUUUCAGGUUCGAUCCCUGGCCUCAAUCAGCAGGUUAAGGAUCUGGCGUUGCCAUGAGUUGUGGUGAAGGUUGCAGACGCGGCUCGGAUCUGGUGGUGGUGUAGGCCAGCAGCUGUAGCUCCGAUUAGACCCCUAGCCUGGGAACCUCCAUAUGCCAUGGGUAUGGCCCUAAAGAGACCAAAAAAAAAAAAAAAAAAAAAAAACAUCGCCAAAGAGGGUCACUGGGCCCUGAGCAUGUGCUCUCAACACCCCCACUCCACCCUUCUGCACAGCAUUGAAAGCUUCCUGGAGGAGAAGGCCCCUUACAGAGGCCUGAGGGGAGGGAAGUCUGUCUAAGCAAAACAUGGACAAAAUGUAUCUGCUGCAAAUUACAAGAAGCUGAUGAAAGAUCAAAGAAGAACUAACUAAAUGGAGACAUGUUAUCAUGUUCACGGACUGGAGGAUUCAACUUUUCCCCAAAUUAAUUUAAAGGUUUAAUGCAAUUCCUAUCAAAAUUCAAAAAAGAAUGUUGGCAGAAACAGGUAAGCUUAUUCUGAAAUUUAUACUGACAAGAGAGCAGGAGGUCUGGCUUGCGAGUGGCCACUUCUCUGUUGCGUGUGGGGAAAGAAUAAAUUUAAAGUGGGUGAUGUUGAGAAGGGCAAGAAGAUUCUUGUUGGGAAGUGUCCUCAGUGCUGUACCGUGGAGGAGGAAGGCAAGCACAAGACUGGCUCCAACCUCCAUGGUCUGGUUGGACUGAAGACGGGCCAGCCUCCUUGGAUUCACUCACCCGAGGAGAGGAGACGCUGGCGGAGACGUGGACAAUCCCGCAAAGGACCUCCCUGGAACAAAAAUGCUCUUUGCUGCCCUUAGGAAGCGGGGAGAAGGGAAGACGUGGUAGCUUAUCUCAAGAAAGCUCCUGAUGAGAACAGAGUGCCGUCGUGGCUCAGUGGUCACGAACCCAACUGGUAUCCAUGAGCAUGUGGGUUCAAGUCUUGGCCUUGCUCAGUGGGUUAAGGAACUGGCAUUGCCGGGAGCUGUGGUGUAGGUCGCAGACACAGCUCGGAUCUGGCGUUGCUGUGGCUGUGGUGUAGGCCGGCAGCUACAGCUCUGAAUAGACCCCUUGCCUGGGUAUGGCCCUCAAGAAAAGACAAAACAAAACCCUGUAGGCGAUUGGUUUUAUAUAUAGAUUUCUAGAACUCGUUUUAUUAAUAUGUUUAAAUACUGAGAAGAUCCCUUUACGGUCUCAGAACAGAGCAAGAUUCACCUGCGUUUCAAGCUCUGUUCACUAACCUGUUAAGGCAAGAGUGGAGGAUAAAUUGACACCGUCCCCUGUAUCUUUUUGGUCUUAAUGAUGCUAAUUUCAUUAAAAGUUCUCUGUGUCUAAAUAACUGCCUUUUGGGAGUUCCCUUCAUGGCUCAGCGGUAACGAGCCCAACUAGCAUCCAUGACUCAGGUUCGAUGCGUUGCCUCAAUCAGUGGGUUAAGGAUCUGGCAUUGCCAUGAGCUGUGGUUUAGGUCAAAGACGUGGCUUGGAUCCCCAGUUGCUGCGGCUGUGGUGGCUGUGGUGUAGGCCAGCAGCUGCAUUCGACCCCUAGCCUGGGAACUUCCAUAUGCUGAAGGUGAAGGUAGGUCGCCGACGCGGCUUGGAUCUGGUAUUGUGGUGGCUGUGGUGUAGGCCAGCGGCUACGGCUCUGAUUGGCCCCCUAGCCUGGGAACCUCCAUAUGCCGCGGGUGUGACCCUAAAAUAAAAAAAUAAAAAUAAAAACUGUAGAACUACUGAGUAUGUGUGAUUAGUAAUGGUGCUUUGGCCAGCUCAUUGGAAGGUUUAAAGCAGAGGAGAACAGAUUUGUAAAUUCUCUGAUCAUAAGGCUUAAUAAUUAGGAGAAAUUAUGUGGAUAGGCCCUAGAAUAGCUUUCAGAAUUCUUUUUUCUUUUUUUUGUCUGCCCCUCAGCAUAAGGAGUUCCCCAGCCGGGGAUCAGUCCCAACCGCAGCUGCAACCAAAGCCACACCUGCAGCAACGCUGGGUCCCUAACCCACUGCUGGGGGCUGGGGAGGGAACCUGUGUCCCAUUGCUCCCAAGAUGCGUUGGAUCCCCUUGCCCCACAGGAAGUUUGGAGCGGGAACUCCGAAACUUCUUGAACGAGAAGAAUACAGUGGGAAGAUCAUCACCUGAUGUCAAGACCUACGGCGGGCCCCUUGUGGCUCCGCGGGUUACGAACCCGACUCGUGUCCAUGAGGAUGCGGGUUCCAACCCUGGCCUAUCCCGCGUGGCCGCGAGCCGCGGUGUCCGUCCCAGUUGGGCCGGGGCGGGGCCGUGGAGCGACCCGGGAGGAAGAACGGGAAAGGGGCGGGGCCUGAGGGCGGGGCGGGGCGGGGCCCGCGAAGACAAAGAGGGGAGCGCCCUGCGCCCCGCAGCGCGCGGGCUGGGUCCGCCCAGUUCGGGGCUCCCCGCGUCAGGCUUGGGGGGCGCGCCCCGCCUGGCGGGCUCUGGGCUCCGCUCCAGCGAUGCGCACCGCUCCGGCGCCUCUGGACCGCGGAGCCCGGCCGCGGCAGCCUCUCCCCAGGGCCUGCUGACCUUUGGGGACGUGGCUACGCACUUCUCCCAGGAAGAAGGGGCACGUCUGGACCUGGGAGAGGGCGUUUAGAGAGGUGAUGCUGGAGACUCGCAGGAACCCGGCCUCCUCAGGAGUCCCAGGAUCCAAACCAGAUCCAGCCUCCCUGCUGGAGCAAGGAAAGCAGCCCUGGGGCUUGGACCUGUGGGGGGCCCAGGAAGGAGAGACCCCGGGAGGCCCUGGCACAGUUGGCGUGGGCAUGUCCGGCCAUCUCCACGACGAGCGGGUCGCCCUGGUCUGCCUGCUCGGGCCAGCAUCACCCGGUGGCCUGCGGAUCGGGCGUGGCAGUGGCACUUCCCUGGACAGACGGAUGCUCUGAAAGCCCGUUUUCAAGGGCAUCCAGAUUUUAAAACUUCAAACGUAGGUCGUGGGCUUUGUUUUCAGCACAGGUGUGUUCUAAAUGCCUUCGAGGUCCGAAGGGGCUACGGGGCUUUCGGGUCGACUUUGAUCACGCAGCAGCCCUGAGCACCUGGUCGCAACUCUAGACUUCAUUUGGUUCUGGCGCUGUUUUCAGAUGCUGAUUUGCCGCAGCGGGAUGGGAUGUUUCCAUCUUAGGCCGCUCGGCCCUGGUGCUCCUGUAGCACCGAAGGCUUUACUCGCUCAGCUUCACGUUCCUGUAAGCUGCCUUUUGGGUUAUGUCGGGCAAGCUUCCUGGCCCAGAGAUCAGAUGCAAGCUGCAGUUUCAACCUAAGUGGGAUCCUUAACCCACUGUGCAGGACCAGCCAUUAAACCUUCGUCCCAGCGCUGCCAAGAUGCCGCUGAUCCCACUGUACCACAGCAGGAAUUCCUACAUUUAUUCUUUUGAAUAUUGGACCAUCUCUUGAAUUUUAGAAAUAAAUCCCAUUUAAGCAUAGUGUAUAAUCCUUA
This is a non-coding RNA of Sus scrofa (pig), 5024 nucleotides long. Lineage: Eukaryota; Metazoa; Chordata; Mammalia; Artiodactyla; Suidae. The record is from RefSeq and is a predicted model, not a curated record.